CAAUUCAGUCAUCUCAUUCUCAAGGAUAUUAUUCUAGUUCAAAUUACAACUUCUCUCCAACCUGUCCUAGUUUUCAUUGUCAGGAGGUAGACAGAAUGGGCUUAAUCAUUCUCCAAGACAUCUCAUCAGCUUACUGCGGAGAGGUGCUGGAAGUUGGAGAAGCCUGGAGAACAUUCUACAGAUUUCACAACUUAACCGAAGGCUGGCCCCACAUAGUGGGCAGAAGUAAACAAGACAGGACGAGGAGGAAAUCAGCGAAGAAGGAAGUGUGGUGGGAACAUGCACUUCUCUGGGAUAUAAAAAGAAACAUGGCAUCAAACGUUGGGCAAUCUUCUAAAAUCGUAGAAGUCUGUCAAUGGCAGCACAUGUGCAAACACAAAACGAACAUCAUGAAAUCGACAAGGGCAAACCAGUAAAAGCACAAAGGCCCGUGGAAGACAGAGCGAUCAGAACACCAAUGCCACUGAGAUCAGUAUUAUAGGUAGAAAGAGACCUUGGAACUCAAAAAGAAGUUCAUUUCUCCAGAAAGGCAACCCUUUACUUACCAAAAAGUCACUCCCCCCCACCCAUGCGAAGCUGAAACCCAGAAGAAACACAAAGCAAAAGGUCUGACAUGUUUUUUGGGGAUAUGGCUACUUGUCUGAUGUGCUUAAGUGAAUUAAUUCACUCAGCAAACCAAUUUAACUUGUCAGAGAUCACAAUGACUGGAGAGAAGUUGGUCUGCUUGUCUCCACCACCCAAACUUUGCUAUCAUCAGUCUCCAGAUGACUGUGGACAUGUCUGUGUGUAUAGAAAAUGACCUGCUGGGGUAUUAGAUGAAAAUAUGAAAAAGGUUCCUUUUAAUUUUUGUGUUUUUUUCUUUAAAAGUUGUUUUUGUAUAUGAUAUACAUUGUGCAUAAUAUAGUAAGUUUGUAUGGUGUAUAAAUAUAAAAAUUUACAUAUGCUGUAGGUUGCACUUAAAAUAUCUAAUGAUAGGAAUGUACAAUCUAAAAAGUUUGGAAAAGAAUGCUCAAACUAUUAAGCCAUAUGGUCCCCAGAUUCAGACCAACCAAAAAAUGUAUAUACAAAUUUCUUUCAAGAAUUUAUUUUAGCACAUUUUUAUCAAUUCUGUUGAACCAAAUAAAAGUCUCCAUGUGAAAUUCAAUUCUAUUGCAUGUUCUAGAAAAAUUGUUAGCAAGUCUGCUAUUGUAGUAGCUCAAGAUUGUAAUUGCCAAAUGUAGGUUAGAGUUGUGAUUUACAAGGGAAAAGGGACUUCUAGAGCAAAAUGAUAUUGUCUAGAGGUUUGAACUGAUAUAGAUCAAGAUACUAUAAAAACCUGUUAUAAAUAGCAAAUACUAAAUCCUUAAAAUAGUC
Molecule: long non-coding RNA, 1353 nt
Organism: Mustela lutreola (European mink)
Lineage: Eukaryota; Metazoa; Chordata; Mammalia; Carnivora; Mustelidae
Exons: 3
Source: RefSeq, a predicted model, not a curated record